This 87-nucleotide transfer RNA is filed under the name Ruminococcus sp. RNAcentral describes it as "tRNA-Leu". It matches the Rfam family "tRNA". From Rfam's summary of the family: Transfer RNA (tRNA) molecules are approximately 80 nucleotides in length. Their secondary structure includes four short double-helical elements and three loops (D, anti-codon, and T loops). The record is from RNAcentral. Lineage: Bacteria; Bacillati; Bacillota; Clostridia; Eubacteriales; Oscillospiraceae.
GCCGCUGUGGUGGAAUCGGCAGACACAAGGGACUUAAAAUCCCUCGGACGAAAAUCCGUACCGGUUCAAGUCCGGUCAGCGGCACCA